GUUUGAUCUUCGCAGUGGCCUGUGGCUAAGACUGAUAUUAAAGGAAGAAUUAAAAUCCUGAAUCAAUCAUGAACUUUAAAGAUGACUUCCAGAUUGUGUCAAUCAAGACCUAGCCUCCGGACAACAUACCUACAUAUUUGCCUAACUCGCUGGGAGUACCUCUUGGAUGUCUGCAACACACCUCAAAUUCAGCUCUUUCAAGAUUAAAUUUGUCUUUUUCUCUUAUAUUAAUGAUUCUAACAAAGUAAUUUCUAAGCAAAUGUGUAGUUCAGCAUUAGUUCCAUGGAAAACUGAAAAAUAAUGGCUUAGAUAAGGCCAUCUGGAAAGAGCACAAGUAAAAAUUUUGACUUACAGAAAAUACCUUAGUUUGACAUCUCAUCUGGAGAAUUUUUAUGCCAAACUCGUUAAUGAGUGCAACACUGCCAAGGUGUUUUGGAGCUUUGGUAGUUUAACACUUCACAAAUUUCAGUCCAAUUUCUUUAUAUGAAUUUUUAAAAAAAUGGAUCAUUGAAAUAAAUAUACUUGACAAUGACUUACUUAUUAGAAUAUGUAACAGACCCAGCACUUCGGGGGCCGAGGUGGGCGGAUCACCUAAGGUCAGGAGUUUGAGACCAGCCUGGCCAACAUGGUGAAACCUCGUCUGAACUAAAAAUACAAAAAUCAGCCAGACAUGGUGGCGGGCACCUAUAGUCCAAGCUACUUGGGAGGCUGAGGCAGGAGAAUCACUGGAACCCGGGAGGUGGAGGUUGCAGUGAGUUGAGAUCUCACCAUUGCACUCCAGCCUGGGUGACAAGAGCGAAACUUCAUCUCAAAGACAGAAAAAAAAACGUUGCAGAGACAAUCAACAUUAAAAAUUGAAAAAAUACUCUUUGGUGUUAAUUAAUUACUAUAGAAAAAUAAAAAAAUAGGGUAUAACGAUUGACUACAACACAAGUAAUGAGCACACUAAGUCUGAAUUUCAUUCUUAGAUGCCAUUAAUCUGAUUUCAUUAAAGUCAGUUUUAAUCUAAGCCCUAUGCUUCUUAAAAGGAAUUUGGUUGAAACAUUGUUCUGAUGUUAAUAAAGGAAAAAUAUUUUUUCUAGUUAUAAAUUAUUUAACAUAUUACUAUAUAAUUAAAUGUUAAUACAUUGCAUUUUCUAUAAAUUACAAUAUUCAUUCUUACCAAAUAAAAAUAAUAUAAACUGAUAAUUGGCAUUAUUUUCAUACACUCUUGAGAAUAUGAGCUAAUAGGAAAGAUGUGCCAAUGCUGUGUCUAUAUGAUGGAACUAUUUAGAGCAGGAAAAAAAUAUGUGAUCAGUCAAUUUUAUUCUCUAAAGGUUGUCCUUACUACAGCUUUUAAUUGUAACACUAUGUCAAUUUUUGCUUCCAGACUGUAAGUAAGAUGGACCAGUUAGCAACUUUGUGAUCAUAAAUGUAUAGCUAAUUUAAAAACAAACGUGAAAUAUUGAAAAUUAAAGUUUAUUUUGAGUCU
This 1471-nucleotide long non-coding RNA is filed under the name Homo sapiens (human). RNAcentral describes it as "non-protein coding lnc-EPHA5-5:2". The record is from RNAcentral. Lineage: Eukaryota; Metazoa; Chordata; Mammalia; Primates; Hominidae.